This is a non-coding RNA of Paramarasmius palmivorus, 93 nucleotides long. Lineage: Eukaryota; Fungi; Basidiomycota; Agaricomycetes; Agaricales; Marasmiaceae. The record is from the annotation of a GenBank genome assembly.
UCCCUGGUAGUAUAUCGGCUAGUACACGCGCCUGUCACCACACUUCUAUGACAGCGUACGCGCGAAAGCUGGGUUCGACUCCCAGCCAGGGAG